UUGAUCUGCCUCUAUACUAAU
RNAcentral lists this non-coding RNA (21 nucleotides) under Caenorhabditis elegans. Lineage: Eukaryota; Metazoa; Nematoda; Chromadorea; Rhabditida; Rhabditidae. The record is from RNAcentral.